AUUGAACGCUGGCGGCAGGCCUAACACAUGCAAGUCGAACGGUAGCACAGAGGAGCUUGCUCCUUGGGUGACGAUUGGCGGACGGGUGAGUAAUGCCUGGGAAACUGCCCGAUGGUUAGGGGGAUAACUACUGGAAACGGUAGCUAAUACCGCAUAACGUCUUCGAAAGUGGGGGACCUUCGGGCCUCACACCAUCGGAUGUGCCCAGGUGGGAUUAGCUAGUAGGUGGGGUAAUGGCUCACCUAGGCGACGAUCCCUAGCUGGUCUGAGAGGAUGACCAGCCACACUGGAACUGAGACACGGUCCAGACUCCUACAGGCAGUUCAGUGGGGAAUAUUGCACAAUGGGCGCAAGCCUGAUGCAGCCAUGCCGCGUGUAUGAAGAAGGCCUUCGGGUUGUCCAAAGUACUUUCAGUGGGGAGGAAGGCGAUGGAGUUAAUAGCUCCGUCGAUUGACGUUACAAGAAGCACCGGCUAACUCCGUGCCAGCAGCGGUAAUACGGAGGGUGCAAGCGUUAAUCGGAAUUACUGGGCGUAAAUUUGGGCGCACGCAGGCGGUCUGUCAAGUCGGAUGUGAAAUCCGGGCUCAACCUGGGAACUGCAUUCAACUGGCAGACUAGAGUCUUGUAGAGGGGGGUAGAAAAAAUUCCAGGUGUAGCGGUACCCAAUGCGUANAGAUCUGGAGGUACCGGUGGCGAANGCGGGCCCCUGGACAAAGACUGACGNUCAGGUGCGAAAGCGUGGGGAGCAAACAGGAUUAGAUACCCCUGGUAGUCCACGCCGUAAACGAUGUCGACUUGGAGGUUGUGCCCUUGAGGCGGCUUCCGGAGCUAACGCGUUAAGUCGACCGCCUGGGGAGUACGGCCGCAAGGUAACUCAAAUGAAUUGACGGGGGCCCGCACAAGCGGUGGAGCAUGUGGUUUAAUUCGAUGCAACGCGAAGAACCUUACCUGGCCUUGACAUCCACGGAAUUCGGCAGAGAUGCCUUAGUGCCUUCGGGAACCGUGAGACAGGUGCUGCAUGGCU
This 1024-nucleotide ribosomal RNA is filed under the name Erwinia rhapontici. RNAcentral's name for it is "bacterial SSU rRNA". It matches the Rfam family "Bacterial small subunit ribosomal RNA", at positions 28 to 1050 of the family's 1533-position model. The record is from RNAcentral. Lineage: Bacteria; Pseudomonadati; Pseudomonadota; Gammaproteobacteria; Enterobacterales; Erwiniaceae.